AGAUUGAACGCUGGCGGCAGGCCUAACACAUGCAAGUCGAGCGGUAGAGAGGUGCUUGCACCUCUUGAGAGCGGCGGACGGGUGAGUAAUGCCUAGGAAUCUGCCUAGUGGUGGGGGAUAACGUUCGGAAACGGACGCUAAUACCGCAUACGUCCUACGGGAGAAAGCGGGGGACCUUCGGGCCUCGCGCCAUUAGAUGAGCCUAGGUCGGAUUAGCUAGUUGGUGAGGUAAUGGCUCACCAAGGCGACGAUCCGUAACUGGUCUGAGAGGAUGAUCAGUCACACUGGAACUGAGACACGGUCCAGACUCCUACGGGAGGCAGCAGUGGGAAUAUUGGACAAUGGGCGAAAGCCUGGUCCAGCCAUGCCGCGUGUGUGAAGAAGGUCUUCGGAUUGUAAAGCACUUUAAGUUGGAGGAAGGUUGUAACUUAAUACGUUGCAAUUUGACGUUUACGACAGAAUAAGCACCGCUAACUUCGUGCCAGCAGCCG
This 491-nucleotide ribosomal RNA is filed under the name uncultured soil bacterium. Its description in RNAcentral is "bacterial SSU rRNA". It matches the Rfam family "Bacterial small subunit ribosomal RNA", at positions 26 to 517 of the family's 1533-position model. The record is from RNAcentral.